UACGUAGGGGGCUAGCGUUGUCCGGAAUCAUUGGGCGUAAAGAGCGUGUAGGCGGCCCGGUAAGUCCGCUGUGAAAGUCGGGGGCUCAACCCUCGAAUGCCGGUGGAUACUGUCGGGCUAGAGUGCGGAAGAGGCGAGUGGAAUUCCCGGUGUAGCGGUGAAAUGCGCAGAUAUCGGGAAGAACACCCGUGGCGAAGGCGGCUCUCUGGGACGGUACUGACGCUGAGACGCGAAAGCGUGGGGAGCAAACAGG
This 253-nucleotide ribosomal RNA is filed under the name uncultured bacterium. Its description in RNAcentral is "partial 16S ribosomal RNA". It matches the Rfam family "Bacterial small subunit ribosomal RNA", at positions 524 to 776 of the family's 1533-position model. The record is from RNAcentral.